Anolis sagrei ordinatus is the source of this 339-nucleotide non-coding RNA. The record is from RefSeq and is a predicted model, not a curated record. Lineage: Eukaryota; Metazoa; Chordata; Lepidosauria; Squamata; Anolidae.
GGGAAGCUGCAUUUCUAAACAAAGACUCCUUCAAAAGAUCUUCCAGUAACUAUCUUGAAUUUACCUUGCUAUUUGAAGAAAAAAGAAGAAAGAAAAUAAUGCAGCUUAAGGACAAAAAAAGGUGUAUGGUAGGACGUGUGAGUGCUGCUCAUGUUAGCUCUCCGCCAAUUUACCUUAAGCAUCCAAAACAGCAAGGGACAUUUCUGAACAACCUGGAGUAUUCAUCCUGGAUCUGAAAAGAAAAGAUGAACACAUAGGCUUAUUAACAGAUCUUGGAACAUCAUCUUCAAAAGGAUGAACAGAAUAAUCCAUAUCUAGCUACAAUGAGCUUCAAAAUAU